GGGGAUUUGGCUCAGUGGUGGGGCACUUGCCUAGGAAGCGCAAGGUCCUGGGUUCAAUCCCCAGCCCCG
This is a non-coding RNA of Rattus norvegicus (Norway rat), 69 nucleotides long. The record is from Rfam. Lineage: Eukaryota; Metazoa; Chordata; Mammalia; Rodentia; Muridae.